GGCUACGUUGGGAAGGGAUAACCGCUGAAAGCAUCUAAGCGGGAAGCCUGCUUCAAGAUGAGAUUUCCUUGUCCCUUGAGGGUGUGAGGCUCCCAGCAGACCACUGGGUGGAUAGGCCGGAUGUGGAAGCGAGGACGAAAGACUCGUGGAGCUGACCGGUACUAAUAGCCGAUGACUUGAUACA
This 184-nucleotide ribosomal RNA is filed under the name Flavimobilis rhizosphaerae. Its description in RNAcentral is "partial 23S ribosomal RNA". It matches the Rfam family "Bacterial large subunit ribosomal RNA", at positions 2747 to 2925 of the family's 2925-position model. Lineage: Bacteria; Bacillati; Actinomycetota; Actinomycetes; Micrococcales; Jonesiaceae. The record is from RNAcentral.